Molecule: long non-coding RNA, 3769 nt
Organism: Cyanistes caeruleus (blue tit)
Lineage: Eukaryota; Metazoa; Chordata; Aves; Passeriformes; Paridae
Source: RefSeq, a predicted model, not a curated record
GAGAAGAGGAAAUAAAAACAAAGAAAGUCAAUUACAGUGAUAUGAAACCACAUAGACAUCAGCAAGGACUCCUGUGAUAACAUCACUAGUAAAACUAUCUACUGAGUACCUGUGGUUGGAAUAGUUUGUAAAACAAGGCUUUAUUGCCAGUGGGAGAGAUGAGCAGCAGCACACCCUGAACACAGCAACUCUGCUGAUCACUAAAAGGAAAUAGAGCAUUGGGAUACAUUCUAAGGAAAGCUGCAAGUCUGCCCAGAACUGCAGGGAGCUGAGGACUACAGAAAGGAUUGCAUUGCCUGUUUCUACUUGCCACCCAUCUAUCCAGUGUCUGAAGAUAGAAGGAAGAGUUACCUCUUCAGCAAGGAAUAAGGGAUGCUUCCUAGACAAGCAGGGUUAUGCUCUGGCAUCUGCACAGCAGCAAGAAGAAAUGCUGUCCUGCUAACAAACAACUUACCAUGAUUCUAAGAAUCUGGACAGUGCCAUGGAGAUGUUUAUCAGAAAGGACCCUUGAUGAGUCAAAAACCUACCAUCUGCUAGAUGCUGCACUGCAAAGUCAGGGAAGAUUUGUCCAAAAGGUGACACAUGAAAAUGAAGUGGAGCAAACCUCAGGAAAGAAAGAGCUGGGAAGAGAAGAAGACAUAAAGCAGCACUGACUGGAGUCCAGUUGCAUUUUUUCAUCACGCUGUCCUUGCUGUGAGUGGAAAAUGCAAAAGCAGUUCUACACUGCUAACACAAACUUGUGGUUUCACAUUCUGCCAGCUGGAUAUGUGCAGCAGCACAAAAAGUCCCCAUCUACAAAACACAACUCCCAUGAACAGAAUUUUCCUACAUUGUCCGGGACUCACACAAGGGCUGUGAUGCAAGUUCUGCCCAGACAGGCAUGAUGACAGAACACUGCAUGCUAUUCAGGACCAUAAAAUGCUUACUUUAAAAGGACUUCUCAGUGAACAAAACCAAGCAAAAUCCUUCAGGUGAGUAAGGCACGUACCAACCGACUGCAUAUUGAGCACAACAAGAGAUAGCAAACAUAAAUGCAGCAAGCACAGUGUCUCCUGAUUAUGCCAUGCUCCUGCCUUCACACACUUGAUGAGUUCUCUGGCCUCGACACCAUAAGAACUAUAUAAUCUCCUCCAUUGUGCCUUAGAAACCAAGAUUCACAGGGAUAAAACAUUAACACACAGAAAAUCCUAGUAUGUGCAAUCCUACCCAUGGCACCGAUUGAUGCUUAAUUCCAGUUGUGGUUAUUGUGACAAUUUCCAGAAUUUUGGAUUCUAGUCCUUCAAAUUAGUAUAAACAUGUGACCUUGGAGCAAUGCUUGCUGGGCAUUUUAUAAGUUCUCCCCAGUAUUAUUCUCUGUCUUUUAUUAGCCUGAAUAAUUCUGUGGCCCUUUAUCAGACCACUGAUCUUUCACAGACUAUUAACAGAAAUAAUAAAGCAGGGGUAACUCUAGAGCAGAUUUACUGUUCAAGCUGAUGCUUGUGAUAUACCACUGAAGAAGAAGUCAAAUAGAAGACAUCCAUCUGGCAAAGUGUGUGAGUGCAGUGGCACAGAUCAAAAUAGUGAGCAUAUUUAAAUAUACCAUUUGAGAAUUUUUUAUAUUAAAAGAUACACUCACAAUUUAAGGCAGCCUAGUUUGUCUGCAGCCUUUCAGCAGGCAAGCAAGAGCACCUAAAUUCAGCUGCUUCUUCUCUGAGUCAUCCAUUCUAGCACCUCUAACUUUAAAGGCAGUAUAAAGAGAUUGACUUCCUGUGCCUAAUGUCAGCCUUUGUAAACAGCCUCCAUGUGUCAUCUGGACAGUUCAGGGGAACAAGAGGUCUACAUCAGUGUUACAGCAUAAAGAGAAAUCACAUUAGGCAAAUAUUAGAAAUUAAUGUUGUGGGUUUUUUUUUUGCUUCUGCAUGAAAGUGGCACUUUGUGGUGCCAUUUCUUAAACACAGAGCUUUACCCCAUUGUAAUAAAAGAAAUGGGUAAAAACAUCUUCAGCUGGAAGCUGUUUUGUUUCUCAGAGAUGGAAGAAUAAAAUAAAAAAAGGAAUUUGCUUUCAGAAAUUGAACAGUCUGCCUUCUCAGUUUCCACAAGAGAAGUGUGUGGCCUAGUACAGUGAUCCUUUAACUUGUUACAUUCAAGAAACACCCCAGUAUCUCUUGUGUACUGGUUAAUCAAAAUGGACAAGGGAAAGAACUAUGUUCUUUUAAGGAAAAGAACAAUGUUCUGGUUCCAUCACUACCAGCAGCUCCCAUUACUGCUGAAAUGUCAGCUCAACACAGGAGAGACCCCUGAACAGCUCCACAAAGCACAUUGUCAGAGUACUGGGACCUAACAGCAGUACAGAAGGGAGGGAGUCCAUCUAAUGCAACACAAAUGCCCAAGUGUGACUCUGCUGGUUGCAAUACCGGGUGGGAUGUAAUUCAGAUAUGUUAUCUUUUUAGCACAGUUCACACAGGCAUGGCAUGCCCUGGGUUUUCCAGACAUGCAAGCAGCACCUUACUGUAUGUUAUCUGACAUUUUAUGUUCAGUGUGGCCAGAGCUUGAGAAGAAAUAAACUACCAUCAGCUCAUCAAAUAAAGUCACCUUGGGAGGUGAUGGCAGCAGUGGGAUCUACAAGUAGCUCUCAGGGUAGAAAGAUUAUCUCAGCUUCACAUGGGUAAAAUUUCCUCGAGAUUAUUCACUAGGGAGGCUUAGCUUUUUAAGAAUAGCAAAUAUACAAUAAUAGAUACACAUAGAAUUUCCUCACAUGUUUUCUACUCAUGAGUUCAGGUGCUCCUUAUCCGUGUUUCUUACUGUAGAGGGACAAAGCCCUCUGAUAUCCUCUUCCAUUGCUAUGGGAAGACUUUGUUUUCACCCCUCUGAAGAACUUUUUUGGGAACUCCUGUCACCCUUUUGAGUAUCUGUGGAUGUGCCUCCACAUAAGUUGAAAGGAAAUUUGACUUUGGCUCUUCAUAGGACCAUUUAGAGCCCUGUGAAGAAAUGGGUUGGAAAAUGCCAUGGCCACAUUAAUUUCAGUCUGAGCCUGAUAGUCAGAAUAAAAAAAAAAAAAAAAAGGUUGCAGUGAAAAUACUUAUCAUAUCUGUUUUGGAGAACUGAGGAAGGCAGCCUUCCUCCUGUUAACAGCUAAGCAUGCUUUCUUCCCUCCAGAACAGAAGGAUCAAAACCAAAAGGACCUGCCCAGGUAAAAUCCCUCUGCUUCAUGGGGACAGAAGAGCUCACAACAAUCUUCUCAAAAUUCAUCAUUUAUAGACAGAAGAGAAGAUGGCUUAGAAUAUCUUCUUUACUAUUAUUACCCUCAUUGCAGGGGGAUUGGACUGGGCGAUCUUUAAGAGUCCCUUCCAAUCCAAACUAUUGUAUGAUUCUGUAUACUUUUUUGGAUACUUUCUUUAUACUGUAUUUUCCUCUUGCUCCCUGGUGAAUAGAUUUUUAUAUUAAAUGUCAUUGCUGUAUUUUGUGAAUUGUAGAUAUGGGUUGUUUUUUUCUUCUCAGGUGACAUUUACUCCUUGGAAUGGCUUAACUCUACACUGUGACUUAUAUCUCAUUUAAAACCUAAAAAUACAUGGCACAUAUGCGAUGAACACAACACAGUGUCCUCUAUCGACACUCCUGUCGGGACUGAAACUCAAAUGAAGAGCUUCUUGGAUGUAAUACAGAGUCAAACAGUUAAUGAAGGUAAAAGUCACCAAGGCUUAUACAAGAUGACAAAAGGAGAAUGCACUUCAGAGCAAGCUAGGAGCAUGAUUCUUCCUAGACAUUAUGCUGAGUCCUCAACUGAUUUAAA